GUGUGAUCUAGCUGUUAAAUUAAAGUCAAGGUAAGAAUUCUUUGAUCCCCUAGGGGACGAUAAGACCCUAGAAGCUUUAAAAAAGAAAAAUUUUUAGGCAUGGUGCAUACUUUUUUACUGGGGCGGUACUAGUAUUUUAACUAUUAGCAGUAAGGAUUGAUCCUUAAUAUAAAGAUAGCUCGGUAAAGUUACUCUAGGGAUAACAGUGCGGUAUUUUUGGAAAGAUCUUAUUAAUAAAAAUGUUCGCAACCUCGAUGUUGAAUUAAGAUGUCUACGUGGGGCAGCAAAUACAGUAGAGGGUUUGUUCAACCUUUAUAGUUUUACAUG
RNAcentral lists this ribosomal RNA (327 nucleotides) under Gammarus cf. fossarum 1ZEL-STU. RNAcentral's name for it is "partial large subunit ribosomal RNA". It matches the Rfam family "Bacterial large subunit ribosomal RNA", at positions 2046 to 2602 of the family's 2925-position model. Lineage: Eukaryota; Metazoa; Arthropoda; Malacostraca; Amphipoda; Gammaridae. The record is from RNAcentral.